This is a long non-coding RNA of Triticum aestivum (bread wheat), 4079 nucleotides long. RefSeq lists it as uncharacterized. NCBI's taxonomy places the organism in Eukaryota, Viridiplantae, Streptophyta, Magnoliopsida, Poales, Poaceae. The record is from RefSeq and is a predicted model, not a curated record. The transcript has 12 exons.
GAAGCCUUUGCCCUCGAGCGACGCCACACCAGACCCUUCGCCCUCGCAGCCGCCGCCGAUCCCCUCCCUCAAACGCCGCCGCCCUUCGCUGCCGCCCCCGCCACCUCCCGUCGCGGGCAGGCGGGAGGAGCCCUGCCCGGCCAUGGCGACACCCGCCGGCGGCCUCCUCCUCCCCCUCACCUUCUCUCCCUCUCCCAAGGGAGGGAAGGGAAUGGAAGGGAUCUGAUUGGAGCGGUCGAUCUGCGCCCUUGCCGUCUCUUCUUUCCUUCACCGAUUCCAGGAGGAGAUCGAAGUGGAAGGUAGACGAGCAGGAGCGCCGCGUCCGCGACAGCGAUGAGCAACGACCCAGGUUCUCCUCUCCCAUGGCAAGGGUCGGCGAGUGGCAACAGAUGCGGGACACCAACUGGUGGCGCAACGGACAGCGAGAGGCAGGACACCAACUGGGCGCGCCUCUCGCGGCCGACUUCCACGGCGGCGACGUCGUUUACCUUGGCGCCUGAUUCUUUCCGACUCAGCGAUCCCCGCGGGCACCGAUGGACGGCGACGGGCAGCACGUGCGGCCGCGGAGCCGCGUGCUCCUGACCGACGACGAGGAUGACGGGGCGUACGCCAGCGACGUGUACAGCGGCAACCUCACCGCCACGGGCGGGUCUCGCGCUGGCCGGAUCUUGGGGCGGUAGCAGUACUUGGUGCAGCGCCACCGUGGCGACUACGGCAGCGUCGGGGUCGUCGUCGUCCUCAUCCGCACAGGGUAGCUGGACUGGGAGGUUUGCUGCUUCCGGUCAGCAGACGAUGGCUAUGACGCUAUGCCCAGCACGAGUGCUAACGCCAUCACGGCCGGCACCACUGGCACCAGCAGCCGUUCGGUGUGCUCUCCGGGAUGCUGCAGUCGAAGGGUCGAGCAGGAGCUAUGGAUGCCAGCAAACAAGCCUGUGCAGACGGCAAUGCAUCAAUCAAAUUGGAUGGAGAACAUCACACAACAGGACAUAAAGAAAAUGGUGGCACUUUGGGUUUUCAAGACACCGCCUCGCGUAGGACUACGGACAUGGGAUGCUCGGUCGAGUUUUUCUUAACUCGUCAGGAUUCUCAUGCUGCAAAUUUAGUAACGGGGCAAAUUUUUGGGUGUCCUGAUGUGUUUGCGGAUUGAUGAAAAUUUGGCGAGGGAGAUCAUAAACCAUCGCUCGCUGCAGCACAUCAAUUGUUGAAUUCGUUUGAAGGAGCUGUCAAUUGUUGAAUUCGCUUGAAGGAGAUGGAGCUCGUUUGGCUGAAUUUGCUACUGACUUGCCACAUUUUGAGGGCCUGCAAUUGAAGAAUACAACACUUGAUAUAACAAUUGAAGAAUACUAGAGUAAUAAUAACUACUGCAAGAGUGAUGUACUUUCUUUUUGUUGGAGAUUUUCUGCAUCUUUUAUGGACGGUAACAUUUGAGAUAACAAUUUGAUGUGCUAACCAUCAAGAUCAACUUCGACAUGUUUGGUCUCUAAAAGUUACUAUUGACCAUCAUUGGUGCAUCCUAUAAGAAGGGGAAAAUAAAGCAUUAAUGUGGAGUAUGUUCCAAUGGAAAUCUUCAGGAACACCUUGAAGGUCUGAGUGCAAUUUUUCUUUAGUUCUCUGUGAGCUUAAAAAUGCAACUGAUGUGGCCCAUGCAACUGAAAUUAAAAACAUGGAGAAGAAUCAUAAAAUAUCUCGCUGAAAAUGCCCUCGUUCUGCACUUCGUGUGGACAGGCAGCACCCUUUACCUUCGAAGUCUCGAAAAAUGGUCUGGGUGAUGCGGGUGCCUCAAUGCUUGAUGCCAUGUUCUGUAAGAGGCCAAGGUUGUAUUUGGGUGUCCACGCGCUACAGGGAAUUACUGUGCGGAGUAGUAAGAAUUGAUUUAAACGUAGAGCCUAGACUCGCACUCCAUGAGCAUCCAUGGCCGGCGAGACGGGACCCUCGACCCUCGGCCUCUGUUGAGAAGGAUCGUUCCACUGUGUCCGAUUUGUAGUACAGAGUAAUCUCAUUCCUCUGAAGUUCCUAUUGGGCAAAAUGGGCAAGAUGUGUUUGGUCAGUGGUGCUUCGUUUUUUAGGCUAUGGCUAUGAUAACUUGAUGACACCCCUUUGUAGUACAGAUCAAUCUCAUGCAUUUGUCCUCCAUCUUCAGGAACAUUUAUUAGUGUACAAUGGCCAAGCAAUUGUUUAAAAAAAUAAGAAACCUGGAAUUGAAUUGCUAAAACAUGGAAUUAUUCUGCUUAUUUGUAGGUUAAUGUAUGACUAUCACGUUCCCCACAAAGUGAAAUGUGCUAUUUCACCACAAACAUUGACGAAGUUAAGUUCAGUGCAGGCAAAAUGGAUAAGUCUGUAACUGGAACUCUGGAUAGUUGAUCCUCUGAAUGGCGAAAAAUUUAUCAAGUUGCUGAGAUUCAGGGGUCUGAAAUUAAGUCAUUUGUGGAUAGUUUAUCUAAAUGCCCAAAACCCACUUAGAGCUCCAGAGAGGUCUUGUUUUCUUGUACUAUGGAUUUAAGGUGAUUCUUAAGAGGAACAAGUCGCCAUGGACAGAUGAGAUCGAGAGACGGCUCCGCGGUUGCGUGGAGUGGCGGCUGAGAGGAGAGGCAAUAACAACUCGUUGUCCGUGACGGCCCGAGCGUUUGCGAGAGGGGAUGGAGCGGGGGUUGCAUCGUCACGGCCAGUUGCCAGAGUGGGUGGAGUGGUGGCCGCACGGACGCGCUCCUAGAGGUGCCGGUAUGCACCCUGAUUUUGAGCCUGGGAGGUUCCUUGCUCUGCCCUAUCCUCAAGGGUGUUCAUCUACUUUGGUAUCGUGCUCUGGAGUCAGGACGAUGCACUAAUGCAGGUUUGAUUCUUUACUUUUUCUUUUGUUUUAUUUGUAUACAUAUCCCUGAAUUUUGUGAGUCGUGAUUUAAAUGUUGUCGUGUGUGCCAUUGUCUCCUAUAUAAUUAUUCUAUUGAAGCACCGCUGCAACCCAGUUUGUUUAUCAAAUUGAUGCAAGAAACAAACUAAUACAUAGAGAGUAUAAAUUUAUUGCAUUAAUCUGUAUAUCCCUGCACCUACCGAUAGGUAGAGAUGGAUAAGUUUUGUAGCUUUUUGAUCCCGGUUUUUCCUAUUGAAAUUAUGGAUUUGGAAGCUAAUCAUGGAGUGUUUCGAUUGCCUGCUUACGGAAUCGCAAUAAGCACAAGUCUGCAACCUUGAAGGAAAACCCGUUGCAACUGAUGACAUAAUAUUACGUUGCAACAAGAAUGUAUAGAGCUGCAGAGCUCUGUGGAUCCUUCUCUUCACAAAAGAUUCUCUUGUGAAAUUGCGAUUCAGGCGAGAAGCGGAGGCGUGUGCCUAGAGUAGCGGACCAUGAUGGAUUGAUGAGCUGAUGUCACGUGACGUACUCACGUGGCGGUUGUUUAGGCUCCGGCGGCUGGAGCCAUCAUCGACCAUGAUGCCGCGCCAGGAGCACAAGGGCUAAGACGAGGACAUGUUGGUGCCGAUGAAAUAAGGUUUAUUGGGUCGUCCUCUUCCAGCAACAUAUUACACAAUCUAUUUAAGCCGAUUGAUUCUCUUUGGUACAAAUGUCCCUCAUUUAGUUGAUGAAACUCUACCUUCAUAAAAUUAAUUGAGUUGGGAACCAUAACAUAUAUACAUCUAUGACUGGUAUCUAUUUGGCUAUAUUAAACUGACAAUUUAUUCUUCUUACCGGAAGGAUAUGUCGUGAAGAUGAUUAAUUCUACAAACUAUACUGCUAAUUCAUCGGAAAUGACUACCAACUUGUUUAAUUCCGCAUGUGCAGGUGCUGCCGGUUGAUGGGGGCCUAACCAUGAGUCUAACUGAAAGUGAACGGGAGCGAUGUGCAGAAAAAAAUCUUAGCAUAUAGGCUGAAUUUGUAUAGUACUUCGAAUUUAUUAGGCAGUACCCCCUCCAUUUGUAUAUCACUUCCGAAUACAAGUUCAGGUUAUUAGGCAGUACUAUUGAAUUUAAGGAUUGAUACUUGAAGAUUUUAAAAGGUUACUAAAUUUUGUACCAAGUCUACUGUUAUGUAUGGGAAGAACAUGCGCUAAAAUAUUGAUAAUGCAAAUGAAAGUGAUCGUUUGAUUAUUAAA